GCGUGGAUAAUUAAAACAUGGCAUAUACAUAAUAUCACGAUUUGUUGGUGUAAUGUACACAGCCAAUAAACAUCAUAAAUUAGAUAUAUCAGUGAAUCCUACUUUUGGUAUUGUAGGCUUGGUUAUAUGAAUAAGAGUAGGAUUGAUAGGUUGAUCAAAGAAUGUAUCUUUGAAAUAGAUGAUUGUGAAUCAUUGCCAACCUGCGAAUCCUGUCUACUUAGUAAGAUAACUAAGUCAUCUUUUAAG
RNAcentral lists this long non-coding RNA (246 nucleotides) under Elaeis guineensis (African oil palm). RNAcentral's name for it is "long non-coding RNA (EGUI_LNC007160)". Lineage: Eukaryota; Viridiplantae; Streptophyta; Magnoliopsida; Arecales; Arecaceae. The record is from RNAcentral.